GUACUCACUUCAGCAGCACAUAUACCAAAACUGGAAUGAUACAGAGAAGAUUAGCAUGGCCCCUGCACAAGGAUAACACACAAAUUCACAAAGAGUUCCACAUUUUU
This 107-nucleotide small nuclear RNA is filed under the name Anas platyrhynchos (mallard). The record is from RNAcentral. Lineage: Eukaryota; Metazoa; Chordata; Aves; Anseriformes; Anatidae.